Molecule: long non-coding RNA, 1551 nt
Organism: Fundulus heteroclitus (mummichog)
Lineage: Eukaryota; Metazoa; Chordata; Actinopteri; Cyprinodontiformes; Fundulidae
Exons: 2
Source: RefSeq, a predicted model, not a curated record
AGAGAUUAACACUUUCCAACUCUGAUUAUGAGAAGGUGUUGUAGUAAGACUAUUCCUUGUUCUGGUACCAAAAUGUGAAAUCAACUUCCAAAAUGAUGCCCUUUUCACAUUAAAUUAAAUUGUUUUACUUGCUAAUUAAGUUGCUGACCAAGAACGUACCAACCUUUUUAAAAAGGACGAGAUUAGACUGUCUGGGGGUAAGAAUCUCAUCACUGGAUUUUCCAUUCUACAUUUAACAAUCUUAAAUGUUAUAGAUACUAAAGUAGGGUUUGUCGGAGUGCGUAAAAUAACUGAAGACAUUUUUCUCCAUUUUUAUUGCAUUGUCCUAUCCCCACUAUCUGCUAUUGUCCUACAAACACUGCACCACAUGCAGAUUUCUUUAUCCAAUCUAUUAAUCUGCUUUUUUUCUGCUGUAAAUGUUCUAAUGCACCAAAUAUAACCCAAACUUUUUUCUUUUUUCUUUUUUUUUUUAAGUCUAAAUUACAAACCUGUUAAUCAUUGAACGUCUCGGCUGGCUACAGUCUUGAUGUGUAGCAGGCAGAAUUUCUCCUCAUGCUUUUUACCAAAGUAUCAGCUUUGAAGUUCUUUUUAUACUAACCUUUGUUUCCACCUUUCCUUUUCAGGCCUCUGGGAACCACACCUUUGUCCACCUGAAGUGAGUUGUCUCUGGGGGGGCAGUUGGAGUUAAAACAAUCUUGCUGUCGACAAUCUGAACUUAUCCUUGGCAACCACUGCGGUACCAUUAGCACUUCAGAAUAAAAACAGAACUCAUGCAAACCCAGUCAAACCCCAUGGAUCCUACCUGCUGAGGAAAACUGAAGUUACUGAUAAGCUAGAGUUUCCAUGGGUUGCCGCUGCUUCUGGAAGGUUUAGAGGCGUUAAGUCAUUGCAUGUUAGUCUUUUUGGCAUGAACUUAGAUCACAGAUUUCUGUGUAUCCUAAUUUUCUUAGUGUUUGUGUUGCCAUUUGGCCUAGACAGCAAAAUGUUUUUUUUGUUCCUGUAGAUCCUUUGGUCUUUUACCUCUGUGUAAGCUAGGCUGUUGUGUAAAUGGCUUAUCUCGCAUGGACCCUGUGAAUGCAUCCCUUCGUUUGAACAAUCCCAUGCCUCUUUAUCAGUGUAUGUCAUUAUUUGAGCAAAGUGCAAAUUUUUUGUACUUUUUGCGUAAUGUAUAUUUAUGCAUUUUUGUGCAACUAAAUAAUGAACCUAUAUAAGUUGGAUGUUUAGUAGUCUCUUGUGUUUGGUAAUUUUUGAACCUAUAUCCUGUUGAAGUAGUUUUAAAAGUGCAAUUUGUUUAAAGGGGACGUUGGAAUUGGCUCGUGCCAUUCUGCUAAAAUGAGAUUGCCGUAAAACAAUCUUUCAGAAUGUGAAACUGAACUACAAAUGUAAAGGGUUGCUUUUUUUGGAGGGGGGUGGGCAUUUUGAAGGGGGUAGCAGGAUUAGACUGAUGAAGGAAUUUAGUUUGUGGUUUAGAAAAUGUUUGUUCUUGUAUCUGCUGUACAUAAGAUGUUAAAAAAAAAUCCCAUCUUAUGAAUAAAAGUGAAUGCAUCCUUG